CAUUGAGGUUGGUAAACACUAGUAUUAUCUUGUCUAUGCAAAGCUCUGAUAAUAUAUUCUGCAAAAUGUUUUGCUUAGUAGUUUCACAUUUCUCCAGGAAGCAUUGUAUCCCCUGGUAGAUCACAGACAGCGAUACCCUAAAAGGAAAAUGAAAACAAAAAAGAAAAAGAGAAAAAUAUUUAGUUCAUUCCGCGAUAAAGAAGAAAACAAAAAAUUUCAAGAGUAUCUCGUGGCUGUUUAAUAAUACUCACCUCUCCUGUAAGGUGAGCUACACAUCUUUUCUCCGCGAGCAACUCAUCUUCUGACUGCACAAUUUUAAUAACUUAAUUAAAUUAUAUCUCACCACGUCUUUUUAACCAUGUUUAACUGUGUGACCACCUCGGUUGAAUGUUUAAAUGAUUAGAGGGAGGACAUAAUUACUUAAUUAUAUUAGGUCUCAACACAAUCUCGAGCAGUAGUUUUCUUUAUGUUAAAGACUGUGUACUUCAAAAUUCCCAAAUUAGAGAAAAGGUUGAGCA
RNAcentral lists this long non-coding RNA (518 nucleotides) under Nicotiana tabacum (common tobacco). RNAcentral's name for it is "long non-coding RNA (NTAB_LNC016596)". The record is from RNAcentral. Lineage: Eukaryota; Viridiplantae; Streptophyta; Magnoliopsida; Solanales; Solanaceae.